GCAAGUCGAGCGAACGGACGAGAAGCUUGCUUCUCUGAUGUUAGCGGCGGACGGGUGAGUAACACGUGGAUAACCUACCUAUAAGACUGGGAUAACUUCGGGAAACCGGAGCUAAUACCGGAUAAUAUUUUGAACCGCAUGGUUCAAAAGUGAAAGACGGUCUUGCUGUCACUUAUAGAUGGAUCCGCGCUGCAUUAGCUAGUUGGUAAGGUAACGGCUUACCAAGGCAACGAUGCAUAGCCGACCUGAGAGGGUGAUCGGCCACACUGGAACUGAGACACGGUCCAGACUCCUACGGGAGGCAGCAGUAGGGAAUCUUCCGCAAUGGGCGAAAGCCUGACGGAGCAACGCCGCGUGAGUGAUGAAGGUCUUCGGAUCGUAAAACUCUGUUAUUAGGGAAGAACAUAUGUGUAAGUAACUGUGCACAUCUUGACGGUACCUAAUCAGAAAGCCACGGCUAACUACGUGCCAGCAGCCGCGGUAAUACGUGGGUGGCAAGCGUUAUCCGGAAUUAUUGGGCGUAAAGCGCGCGUAGGUGGUUUUUUAAGUCUGAUGUGAAAGCCCACGGCUCAACCGUGGAGGGUCAUUGGAAACUGGAAAACUUGAGUGCAGAAGAGGAAAGUGGAAUUCCAUGUGUAGCGGUGAAAUGCGCAGAGAUAUGGAGGAACACCAGUGGCGAAGGCGACUUUCNUGGUCUGUAACUGACGCUGAUGUGCGAA
RNAcentral lists this ribosomal RNA (719 nucleotides) under uncultured Staphylococcus sp. Its description in RNAcentral is "bacterial SSU rRNA". It matches the Rfam family "Bacterial small subunit ribosomal RNA", at positions 57 to 757 of the family's 1533-position model. The record is from RNAcentral. Lineage: Bacteria; Bacillati; Bacillota; Bacilli; Caryophanales; Staphylococcaceae.